Molecule: ribosomal RNA, 591 nt
Filed under: uncultured bacterium
Lineage: Bacteria
Description: partial 16S ribosomal RNA
Rfam family: Bacterial small subunit ribosomal RNA
Source: RNAcentral
UGGGGAAUAUUGGACAAUGGGCGAAAGCCUGAUCCAGCCAUGCCGCGUGUGUGAAGAAGGUCUUCGGAUUGUAAAGCACUUUAAGUUGGGAGGAAGGGCAGUAAGCUAAUACCUUGCUGUUUUGACGUUACCGACAGAAUAAGCACCGGCUAACUUCGUGCCAGCAGCCGCGGUAAUACGAAGGGUGCAAGCGUUAAUCGGAAUUACUGGGCGUAAAGCGCGCGUAGGUGGUUCGUUAAGUUGGAUGUGAAAGCCCCGGGCUCAACCUGGGAACUGCAUCCAAAACUGGCGAGCUAGAGUACGGUAGAGGGUGGUGGAAUUUCCUGUGUAGCGGUGAAAUGCGUAGAUAUAGGAAGGAACACCAGUGGCGAAGGCGACCACCUGGACUGAUACUGACACUGAGGUGCGAAAAGCGUGGGGAGCAAAACAGGAUUAGAUACCCCUGGUAGUCCACGCCGUAAAACGAUGUCAACUAGCCGUUGGGUUCCUCGAGAACUUAGUGGCGCAGCUAACGCAUUAAGUUGACCGCCUGGGGAGUACGGCCGCAAGGUUAAAACUCAAAUGAAUUGACGGGGUCAUAGCUGUUUCCUG